UACGUAGGGUGCAAGCGUUAUCCGGAAUUAUUGGGCGUAAAGAGCUCGUAGGCGGUUUGUCGCGUCUGCUGUGAAAACUGGAGGCUCAACCUCCAGCCUGCAGUGGGUACGGGCAAACUAGAGUGCGGUAGGGGAGAUUGGAAUUCCUGGUGUAGCGGUGGAAUGCGCAGAUAUCGGGAGGAACAUCAGUGGCGCAAGCGGCGCCCUGGCCUUAGCCUGACGCUCAGGGGCGAAAGCGUGGGGAGCGAACGGG
RNAcentral lists this ribosomal RNA (253 nucleotides) under uncultured bacterium. RNAcentral describes it as "partial 16S ribosomal RNA". It matches the Rfam family "Bacterial small subunit ribosomal RNA", at positions 524 to 776 of the family's 1533-position model. The record is from RNAcentral.